UACGUAGGUGGCAAGCGUUAUCCGGAAUUAUUGGGCGUAAAGGGCGCGUAGGCGGCCCGGUAAGUCAAAGGUGAAAUCCCUCGGCUCAACUGAGGAACUGCCUUUGAAACUGUCGGGCUUGAGGCCGGGAGGGGGUAGCGGAAUUCCCAGUGUAGCGGUGAAAUGCGUAGAUAUUGGGAGGAACACCGGUGGCGAAGGCGGCUACCUGGACCGGUUCUGACGCUGAUGCGCGAAAGCGUGGGUAGCAAACAGG
Molecule: ribosomal RNA, 253 nt
Filed under: uncultured bacterium
Lineage: Bacteria
Description: partial 16S ribosomal RNA
Rfam family: Bacterial small subunit ribosomal RNA
Source: RNAcentral